Molecule: long non-coding RNA, 458 nt
Organism: Amphimedon queenslandica
Lineage: Eukaryota; Metazoa; Porifera; Demospongiae; Haplosclerida; Niphatidae
Exons: 2
Source: RefSeq, a predicted model, not a curated record
AGUGUUUGAAAAUCAUAAAAACGGCAGCCAUCUUGAAAAACCAACCUCAAUCCUACAUAAUUAUAGGCUAUCGCCUAUAUAAUAUCCAGUAACAGAUGGAUACUGUGUUAAUAGUACCAAUUCAAUCAAUGCCUCAUUUAUUAAAGAGAAAGCACAAAGGAUUCCUGUCAAAAGGCAAUUCCUUAUUCCAGGGAUUGAUUUCAAAUGCAAUGGAUCAAUUUUAAAAUGGAUUUUCGGAGGUAAAUAUAUCAAUCAGGAACCUCAGGGACAUAUCGAAUUACAAAUAUGGCGUAAAAUAGGCAAUAAUUACACUAAAAUAGGAUCAAGUUUAAUUAAUGCUAAUACAAUGAUUGGUACUAAUCUCUAUAUGAGUUUAUUCCUCAGACUCCACUGCAAUUCCAGGAAGGAGACAUAUUUGGCAUUUAUCAAAGUGAUAGAUUUCUCUAUGACCAAAGGUA